AGGGGGAGGGGGUGGUGACCCCACUCUUCCACCCCUAGUUCUGUCUUGCUCGUAGCCCGGCAGAGGGAGGCUGGGUCUGCCUUGGGGUUCUGAGGAACACCCUACACCCUUCUCCUAAAGUUUAUCAACCUCCCCUCACUACCCCCUUAGUCUACUCCCCUCCCCACUCUCUUCGUCCCUAGGGAAGCGCAGUUCCGCGCUCCCGCCGGUUCAGCUGGAUCAAUAACCAAAGUGCGCGAGGAAGGCGACCCAGGCGAGAUUGAGCAGAGAACUGGAGAAAACCACCUCUGAAAAAUACUCCCUAUGACGAAGCGCUUUUAUGAAGAAGACUCCGCGGCCUUGUGCUCUGUUGUCUGUGCUCUGUUCCGGUGGCUUACAAAACAAAGCAACUGCGAACCCACGCGUCCAGCGAGUGUGUGAGAUCCUCAGCCCCAUCUCUGGAAGCUCCACGUUCUGGUCUCAUCUCGAACGCCUUAUCCACUUCCACUUUAAAAAUAGGAAUGAAUUCGCGCUGCCUGCUUUCUUCCAGCCUUUUCAGUCUUCGCUUUGGCACUUGCACAAGAUGAACCGUUCCCUGCUUUUUCUUCCUAUCUCCUCGUUGUUGGCCAGCCACGACGAAAGUGCCUGCAGCUUCACAGUGUCGCCAGCUGAACGUGUUACGGAAGAUUUUGAUCUCUGUGAGGCCGGUGAAACUCUUCUGCAAACAGUUCAACAAAACGCACCGAACAGUGCAAAGGAAUUUUCUCUCUCCGUUUCCCUGGCAUCUAUGGCCUCCGUGUGGAAUAAAUCAUGGAAUGUGACACUAUCUGUGUAAAAAUAAUCGCAACCCACUGUCCAUUCUUCUGUGCAUCCUGUACACGCAUCAUGGUAGAGUUGGGAGGACAGCUGAGCGAGACACGCUCUUCCCGAAAGAGGUAAAGAGUGUGAGACUGAGCCUAGAGCGGUUUUAAGUACCGAGUCUUCAUCAAUUACUUGAGUUCUCUCCCUGCUCUCCCUUUUAAAGAGUUCUUGGUUCCACAAGGAGAAUAAACUUGGAGAUGUUGUGGGCUACGAAUUGGAUGCUCCACCUGGAAAUCCCGCCAUGGGUGUAUGAUUUAAGGAAAAUUUAAAAAGCAGACGGACGGAUAGAUGAGCACUCUUAGGGUCUCUAAGUGGAGGUGGCCCCACUCUAAUCGCCACCUCCAGCUUUCCCGAGCUCUGUCUUUCCUCCCUCAGAGGAUCUGCUUCUCCCAUCCCCUGCCUCAACCUUUGGCUUUCCCUCCCCGAUGUUGAGGCCUGGGGAACUGGAUCCCAGAUGCUUGGUUUCUCCGAAACCCGGUCCAUCCAGAAUGGAUCAGGCUGAUUUUCUCGGGGAAAGGACCACGGAUUCGGUUCUGCCGGGGCGAAAUUUGCAAAUUUGCUGGGGAGAUGGGGCCGGGUAGGAGUAGGGUGGGUAUGAAGAUGGCUGGAAGGGAAGGAGAAGAAAGGAGGCCGGCGAGAAGUAGAAGACCCGGAGACCGGGUGCAAGGAAGCCAAGAAGGUGGAGUGGAGCUGGGGGAAAGGGGGGGCGGGUGGAGUGGGAAGGGGCGGGGCCGGAAAUUGGGAGGCCGCGCGCCACCCAAACAAACAAAGCGCGAUAGGGGCUCCACCCAGGGCGCGCGGCUUUCCCCCAACUGUCUCCCGAAUUCUUGCUUUUGGUAGGCAGGCGGGUUGGUCUUGGUAGGGACCUGCGUGUUGCUCUUGUGGAAAUCAGUCUAAAGGGACUGAUCACAGGAGAAAAGCCACGCAACCAAUGGACGUUCGGCUCUGCCUAACUGGAUUCGGGUCGCCCACGAGAAGUUCACGGGUGGUGGACAAGAGAGCUCUUUCUUGCACUUUGGUUCAUGUGGAUUCGGUGGCUGUGGCUUUGCUCCGAAGGAUGCUGGGAAUGCCAUUCUAGGCCCCCCAGUCUUAAGGGCCGGUCGAGGAGCCCGAAAUUUCUGCAUUAGAAACGCUUUCCUCUGGCCGAAAAUACCGUAUUCUGUUUUUAAAUCGUAUUCUCCAAUUUAAAUCUGCUUUUCCAACCUUUGCCCGAUGUUCUUACGACUAGAAAAACAAUAGAAAUGAAAACAGGAAAAAAAAAAACCCUUGGUUUCCCGCAAAGACUCUUUUCAAUGGUUUUUUUUAUGUGCAUCCUUAUUUUGCAUAAUUUGAGUCCUAGUGAAGUGCAGUUCUGUAUUCAGCCUUUUUAAUUUGAGUUCACACCUAAAUAUUUGCCGUGUGCUAUGAUUCUCAAAAGUAUACUUUUCAACGGCCGAUUAAUAUCCUAUGCUUCAUUGUAUAAUUUCUUUGACCGUUCAAUUGUCAGUUAUUCCAGUUCUUGAGCAUUAAAAUAAUGCACAAACCAAAA
Molecule: non-coding RNA, 2368 nt
Organism: Ictidomys tridecemlineatus (thirteen-lined ground squirrel)
Lineage: Eukaryota; Metazoa; Chordata; Mammalia; Rodentia; Sciuridae
Source: RefSeq, a predicted model, not a curated record